RNAcentral lists this small nucleolar RNA (79 nucleotides) under Plasmodium knowlesi strain H. RNAcentral's name for it is "Plasmodium knowlesi snoRNA PKNH_0907100". It matches the Rfam family "small nucleolar RNA snoR10". The record is from RNAcentral. Lineage: Eukaryota; Apicomplexa; Aconoidasida; Haemosporida; Plasmodiidae.
UGUUUUAACAUGAUGAUUAGUUUUUGUCUAAAUUUACAAAUAAUGAUGACAAUUGUACUGCCCCAAACUGAUUAAAACG